This 72-nucleotide transfer RNA is filed under the name Camelus ferus (Wild Bactrian camel). It matches the Rfam family "tRNA". Rfam says of the family: Transfer RNA (tRNA) molecules are approximately 80 nucleotides in length. Their secondary structure includes four short double-helical elements and three loops (D, anti-codon, and T loops). Lineage: Eukaryota; Metazoa; Chordata; Mammalia; Artiodactyla; Camelidae. The record is from Rfam by way of RNAcentral.
GUAUAUAUAGCUCAGUGGUAGAGCAUGUGCUUAGCAUGCACGAGGUCCUCAGUUCAAUACACAGUACAUCCA